This 1400-nucleotide ribosomal RNA is filed under the name uncultured bacterium. RNAcentral's name for it is "bacterial SSU rRNA". It matches the Rfam family "Bacterial small subunit ribosomal RNA". The record is from RNAcentral.
AGAGUUUGAUCCUGGCUCAGGAUGAACGCUAGCGGCAGGCUUAACACAUGCAAGUCGAGGGGCAUCGGGAGGGAAGCUUGCUUUCCUUGCCGGCGACCGGCGCACGGGUGAGUAACACGUAUGCAACCUGCCCUCUUCAGGGGGACAACCUUCCGAAAGGGAGGCUAAUCCCGCGUAUAUCGGUUUCGGGCAUCCGAGAUCGAGGAAAGAUUCAUCGGAAGAGGAUGGGCAUGCGGCGCAUUAGCUAGACGGCGGGGUAACGGCCCACCGUGGCGACGAUGCGUAGGGGUUCUGAGAGGAAGGUCCCCCACACUGGUACUGAGACACGGACCAGACUCCUACGGGAGGCAGCAGUGAGGAAUAUUGGUCAAUGGGAGAGAUCCUGAACCAGCCAAGCCGCGUGAGGGAAGACGGCCCUAUGGGUUGUAAACCUCUUUUGUCGGAGAACAAAACCCGGGACGAGUCCCGGACUGCGUGUAUCCGAAGAAAAAGCAUCGGCUAACUCCGUGCCAGCAGCCGCGGUAAUACGGAGGAUGCGAGCGUUAUCCGGAUUUAUUGGGUUUAAAGGGUGCGUAGGCGGUCCGUUAAGUCAGCGGUAAAAUUGCGGGGCUCAACCCCGUCGAGCCGUUGAAACUGGCAGACUUGAGUUGGCGAGAAGUACGCGGAAUGCGCGGUGUAGCGGUGAAAUGCAUAGAUAUCGCGCAGAACUCCGAUUGCGAAGGCAGCGUACCGGCGCCAGACUGACGCUGAGGCACGAAAGCGUGGGGAUCGAACAGGAUUAGAUACCCUGGUAGUCCACGCAGUAAACGAUGAAUGCUGGUUGUCCGGGUCGAAUGAGAUCUGGGCGGCGAAGCGAAAGCGAUAAGCAUUCCACCUGGGGAGUACGCCGGCAACGGUGAAACUCAAAGGAAUUGACGGGGGCCCGCACAAGCGGAGGAACAUGUGGUUUAAUUCGAUGAUACGCGAGGAACCUUACCCGGGCUCAAACGGGAGUGGAAUGGACCAGAGACGGUUCAGCCUACGGGCCGCUUCCGAGGUGCUGCAUGGUUGUCGUCAGCUCGUGCCGUGAGGUGUCGGCUUAAGUGCCAUAACGAGCGCAACCCCCGCCGGCAGUUGCUAACGGGCAAUGCCGAGGACUCUGCCGGGACUGCCGCCGCAAGGCGAGAGGAAGGCGGGGAUGACGUCAAAUCAGCACGGCCCUUACGUCCGGGGCGACACACGUGUUACAAUGGGCGGUACAGCGGGAAGCCAGGCGGCGACGCCGAGCGGAACCCGAAAGCCGUUCUCAGUUCGGAUCGGAGUCUGCAACCCGACUCCGUGAAGCUGGAUUCGCUAGUAAUCGCGCAUCAGCCAUGGCGCGGUGAAUACGUUCCCGGGCCUUGCACACACCGCCCGUCAAG